UACAGAGGGUGCGAGCGUUGUUCGGAAUUAUUGGGCGUAAAGGGCGCGUAGGCGGUGCGGUAAGUCACCUGUGAAAUCUCUGGGCUCAACUCAGAGCUUGCAGGCGAAACUGCCGUGCUGGAGUGUGGGAGAGGUGCGUGGAAUUCCCGGUGUAGCGGUGAAAUGCGUAGAUAUCAAGAGGAACACCUGAGGUGAAGACGGGUUGCUGGGCUGACACUGACGCUGAGGCGCGAAAGCCAGGGGAGCAAACGGG
Molecule: ribosomal RNA, 253 nt
Filed under: uncultured prokaryote
Description: partial 16S ribosomal RNA
Rfam family: Bacterial small subunit ribosomal RNA
Source: RNAcentral